AGCCCCGUGGUCUAGUGGUCAAGGAUGCGGGCCUUUGGAGCCUGUGACCCCGGUUCGAAUCCGGGCGGGGCUA
RNAcentral lists this transfer RNA (73 nucleotides) under Nanobdellota archaeon. Its description in RNAcentral is "Nanoarchaeota archaeon tRNA-Gln". It matches the Rfam family "tRNA". Rfam says of the family: Transfer RNA (tRNA) molecules are approximately 80 nucleotides in length. Their secondary structure includes four short double-helical elements and three loops (D, anti-codon, and T loops). RNAcentral also lists the same sequence under 1 other name. Lineage: Archaea; Nanobdellati; Nanobdellota. The record is from RNAcentral.